GACGAACGCUGGCGGCGUGCCUAACACAUGCAAGUCGAGCGGAGUUUACGCUGUAGUUUACUACGGUGUGAACUUAGCGGCGGACGGGUGAGUAACGCGUGAGCAACCUGCCCUAUACAGGGGGAUAACAUCGGGAAACCGAUGCUAAUACCCCAUGACACCGGGACAUCGCAUGAUGGUCUGGUCAAAGGAGGAAUCCGGUAUAGGAUGGGCUCGCGUCCCAUUAGCUAGUUGGUGAGGUAACGGCUCACCAAGGCGACGAUGGGUAGCCGACCUGAGAGGGUGAUCGGCCACACUGGGACUGAGACACGGCCCAGACUCCUACGGGAGGCAGCAGUGGGGAAUAUUGCGCAAUGGGGGGAACCCUGACGCAGCAACGCCGCGUGAGUGAGGAAGGCCUUCGGGUCGUAAAGCUCUGUCAUUAGGGACGAAUUAAGUGACGGUACCUAAGGAGGAAGCCCCGGCUAACUACGUGCCAGCAGCCGCGGUAAUACGUAGGGGGCGAGCGUUGUCCGGAAUUACUGGGCGUAAAGGGCGUGUAGGCGGCUAAUUAAGUCAGAUGUGAAAGGCCCCGGCUUAACCGGGGUAUUGCAUUUGAAACUGGUUAGCUUGAGUGCAGGAGAGGAAAGUGGAAUUCCUAGUGUAGCGGUGAAAUGCGUAGAUAUUAGGAGGAACACCAGUGGCGAAGGCGACUUUCUGGACUGUAACUGACGCUGAGGCGCGAAAGCGUGGGUAGCGAACAGGAUUAGAUACCCUGGUAGUCCACGCUGUAAACGAUGGAUACUAGGUGUAGGGGGUAUCGAAACCCUCUGUGCCGGAGUAAACGCAAUAAGUAUCCCGCCUGGGGAGUACGGCCGCAAGGUUGAAACUCAAAGGAAUUGACGGGGGCCCGCACAAGCAGCGGAGCAUGUGGUUUAAUUCGAAGCAACGCGAAGAACCUUACCAGGGCUUGACAUCGCCUGACGCUGGUAGAGAUACCAGUUCCCUUUUGGGCAGGCAGACAGGUGGUGCAUGGUUGUCGUCAGCUCGUGUCGUGAGAUGUUGGGUUAAGUCCCGCAACGAGCGCAACCCUUAUCUUUAGUUGCUAACAGGUAAGCUGAGCACUCUAGAGAGACUGCCGGAGACAAUUCGGAGGAAGGUGGGGACGACGUCAAAUCAUCAUGCCCCUUAUGUCCUGGGCUACACACGUGCUACAAUGGCCUUUAACAGAGGGACGCGAAGGGGCAACCCGGAGCAAAUCCCAUAAAAGAGGUCCCAGUUCGGAUUGUGGGCUGCAACUCGCCCACAUGAAGUCGGAGUUGCUAGUAAUCGCGAAUCAGCAUGUCGCGGUGAAUACGUUCCCGGGCCUUGUACACACCGCCCGUCACACCAUGGGAGUCGGUGGCACCCGAAGCCAGUGACUUAACCGCGAGGGGAGAGCUGUCGAAGGUGAAACCGAUGACUGGGGUG
RNAcentral lists this ribosomal RNA (1449 nucleotides) under uncultured bacterium. RNAcentral describes it as "bacterial SSU rRNA". It matches the Rfam family "Bacterial small subunit ribosomal RNA". The record is from RNAcentral.